Molecule: ribosomal RNA, 643 nt
Filed under: bacterium SC35-30
Lineage: Bacteria
Description: bacterial SSU rRNA
Rfam family: Bacterial small subunit ribosomal RNA
Source: RNAcentral
CCUACGGGAGGCAGCAGUAGGGAAUCUUCCGCAAUGGACGAAAGUCUGACGGAGCAACGCCGCGUGAGUGAUGAAGGUUUUCGGAUCGUAAAACUCUGUUGUUAGGGAAGAACAAGUGCGAGAGUAACUGCUCGCACCUUGACGGUACCUAACCAGAAAGCCACGGCUAACUACGUGCCAGCAGCCGCGGUAAUACGUAGGUGGCAAGCGUUGUCCGGAAUUAUUGGGCGUAAAGCGCGCGCAGGCGGUUUCUUAAGUCUGAUGUGAAAGCCCCCGGCUCAACCGGGGAGGGUCAUUGGAAACUGGGAAACUUGAGUGCAGAAGAGGAGAGUGGAAUUCCACGUGUAGCGGUGAAAUGCGUAGAGAUGUGGAGGAACACCAGUGGCGAAGGCGACUCUCUGGUCUGUAACUGACGCUGAGGCGCGAAAGCGUGGGGAGCGAACAGGAUUAGAUACCCUGGUAGUCACCCGUAAACGAUGAGUGCUAAGUGUUAGAGGGUUUCCGCCCUUUAGUGCUGCAGCUAACGCAUUAAGCACUCCGCCUGGGGAGUACGGUCGCAAGACUGAAACUCAAAGGAAUUGACGGGGGCCCGCACAAGCGGUGGAGCAUGUGGUUUAAUUCGAAGCAACGCGAAGAACCUUAC